UGCCAGACUCCUACGGGAGGCAGCAGUGGGGAAUAUUGCACAAUGGGGGAAACCCUGAUGCAGCGACGCCGCGUGAGCGAUGAAGUAUUUCGGUAUAUAAAGCUCUAUCAGCAGGGAAGAAGAUGACGGUACCUGACUAAGAAGCCCCGGCUAACUACGUGCCAGCAGCCGCGGUAAUACGUAGGGGGCAAGCGUUAUCCGGAUUUACUGGGUGUAAAGGGAGCGUAGACGGCGAUGCAAGCCAGAUGUGAAAGCCCGGGGCUCAACCCCGGGACUGCAUUUGGAACUGUGUGGCUGGAGUGUCGGAGAGGCAGGCGGAAUUCCUAGUGUAGCGGUGAAAUGCGUAGAUAUUAGGAGGAACACCAGUGGCGAAGGCGGCCUGCUGGACGAUGACUGACGUUGAGGCUCGAAAGCGUGGGGAGCAAACAGGAUUAGAUACCCUGGUAU
Molecule: ribosomal RNA, 447 nt
Filed under: uncultured bacterium
Lineage: Bacteria
Description: bacterial SSU rRNA
Rfam family: Bacterial small subunit ribosomal RNA
Source: RNAcentral